ACUAAUUGGUUGUUAAAUUGUUUAUUAUAUAUUCUUCAGGUUGUACAAAAAGGCAUAGGUCAUUCUAUUAACAACGUCACUACUGCUCUUGAUGAAGGACACCCACAAACAAUUCAAAAUAUAUCAUCAAAAGAAUUUUGAGAUUGAGCAUCUAGAAAGUGAGUUACAACCAUCCUUUUGCACUUGGAAGAAAAAUGAUGUAAAGCUAGAUGUAGUGAAGGUUAUGAACAAUUCAAAGUUGAAGAAGAAGUUGUAAAAUUGUUGGUUUUAGUUGUUGAUUAUGUAUGAUGUUUAUGGAUAAAUUGUAAUAGUGAAAAAGGAAGACCAUAUUUGAUACUUUUUGUCAAUGGAGAUUCUUAAAUUAAGUUUUCA
Long non-coding RNA from Vitis riparia (riverbank grape), 372 nucleotides. RefSeq lists it as uncharacterized. The record is from RefSeq and is a predicted model, not a curated record. The transcript is spliced from 2 exons. Lineage: Eukaryota; Viridiplantae; Streptophyta; Magnoliopsida; Vitales; Vitaceae.